CUCAUCAGGAGAACAAGAAAAUCCUAGUUCAUAACAUUAACUACUUAUUUGCAUUAUUAUCUCUUUUUGAGAUGUUAAGAUGGGUCAGUUGGUUGAGGGUCCAUACGUUACAAAGUUCUCCAUCAGCUUUUCACCGACCGGUUUUAGCAACUGUUGGUGAUGUUGCCUACUGGUGAAAUAUAAAUUAUUAGGGGCUACAAAAUUGUGACAUUCUAAUUCUACUGUCUCUUCUGCACUUAACUGGAAUUCUCUUAUAAAGAAGAACCUUCCCUCAUCAACUCUUUGGUAUCCUGAAGCACAGCUCGUAUAGAAAAGUUCUUUUCUCUUGCUUACUCUAAUGAAGCAAGCUGCCAUGUUGUGUGCUACCCUAUGGAGAAGUCCAUGUGGAAGAACUAAGGGCAACAUCUGGCCAACAGCCAUCAAGGAAGUGAGGUCCUCAAAGCAACAGUUCAGUGAGGAACUGAAUCCCGCAACAACCACAUGAGUGAGCUUGGAAGUGAAUCCUCCCCAGAUUUAGCCUCGAGAUGGCAUCAGCCCUGCUGGCACCUUGAUUGCAGCCUUGAGAGAGACCCUGAGUUGGAGGACCCAGCGAACCUGCACCUGAAAUCUUAACCCACCGGAACUGAGAUACUAAAUGUGUUGUUUUAAGCUAUUAAGUUUUGACAUCAUUUCUUGUGCAGCAUUAGUUAACAGAUACACCUCCACAGGGGUUGUUUUGUGUAUACUCUUACCUAUUAGAUGACUGUAGGGAGAGUAGAGUGCUGAUUAAUUGACUAAUGACAAGGUCAGUUGGCCAAUGGUCUUGAGUAGCAUUGUGUGGGGCUCUGGCUUUGCCCCGUUCUCCAUUUCAUCAGUGAUUAGGGUGGCUCAUCCUGCACAUGGUGGGAAAAAAUCCAGAACCAGAGAGUCCUCAACCAACUGAAACAAUGACCAAAUUGUUUGGAUUGUUGCAUAACUAAAUUCAAUUCAGCAAAGACUUACUAAGCUUGGUAACAAUCGUCUGUGUGGCGCUACAGGGAGCUGUAGAGGAGGCUGGAGGCCAGAAGGCCCUGCACUCACUGCUAUGAACAGGACCUCAGAGUGUCCCCAGCCCCAAAGUCAAGGAUGGGAUUAAGUCAGGGCUACCAAAUGGCACAGAAGUGCAUAGAGAAAGGCAAGGAAUGAUGUUUAUCAAACCCCCUAAAAAGAAAACAGGAUUGCAGGGGAGGGAAGGGCAUUUUCAAUUGUUGCUCUUUGUCUUUACUCAAAAAGGGCUCCUUAGAAAUGCAGUGACAGUGAGUCAGCACUUGCCUUUAACAAGAUCUCGUGAGGAUUUGUACCUAUCCCGAAGUUUGAGAAACUCUGGCCUAUAUAACUGUAUAGUUUGGUAUUUUAACGUCUUACAGCAAGCACAUAUUCACGUAUUACUUGUAUAAUUAAAAGAUUUUUUUUUAAAGAUUGGCACCUGAGCUAACAUCUGUUGCCAAUCUUUUUUUUUCUUCUCCCCAAAGCCGCCCAGGACAUAGUUGUAUAUUCUAGUUGUUGGUCCUUCUGGCUCUGCUAUGUGGGACGCCGCCUCAGCACGGCCUGAUGAGCGGUGAUAUGUCCACGCCCAGGAUCUGAACCAGCCAAAACCCUGGGCCAGCGAAGCGGAGUAUGUGAACUUAAGCACUCAGCCCCUGGGCUGGCCCCUAAAAGAUGUUUUAAAGAGACGAGACUAUAAGGAAGUUGAAAAUUCAGAGGGGAGAUUGACACCCCUGGAUUGGGUGGGAAGGAAGGAGUCCACAGAGCCAGCCCAGAAAGUGACAGCCUCCUCCAGGCUCUGAGUGCUGCGUAGCUUGUCUCUGAGUAGAACCCCCUACCCCUCUCCCCCACCCGCCCUGAGAGUGAAGCAGGAGGGAAAAGGGGAGAGGUCCGAACAAGCCCCCAGAUUGAAAGCUCCGUUUACAUCACUGCAGUAGCCUCACUAGGCUCGGACCUUCAUGAUUAUGGGCUGAACGAAGGAAAUGGUAAAGGAUUUUAAGUUCUAGAAGUAAUAAUAGCAGAAUGACUGCAAACAAGUGUCCUUGGACUCAUAAUUCUAAGGACAUCGUGACAGCAAGUAGGAAAAAGAGCAAUUCUUUCAACGAUUACCAGCUUCUCUCUUUCCCAAUUCCUUUGGAUAGGCCUCGUGCAAGAAGCCGAUUUCCAGCUGCAUGUGAUGAUGAAAAGAUUUUUUCUUUCUUCUUAUGUUAAAUACAAGCGAAUUGAUUAAAUAGAAGACAGCAUCUGAUUGCUAGGAAAUCAGUGAUUCAGAUAGUAUGGCAAUGGCACCUGGGGCUGGGGGAGGAGCACACAGGAGGGGUAGGAAGCUGGCGCAGCCAUUAAUGCCAAGGACACUCAAGGGCUGGGGGACUAAGCUACGGAGGAGGCAGUAUUUGACAUCACCUGGUCCAGCCUCAUGGUUUACGGGUCCAGGAGGAAACGGCACUGAGUAAGUGGAAGGAAAAUAUUCAGUGUAGGUUUUUCAAAUGCAAGGAAGGAGAUGGGAAUUUACACAGCAGAGGCUGAGGAUCAACCAGAGAAAGCCAAAUAUGCUUCCAACCAAUCACGGAAGAUGCCCCCCUUCUGGUCAGGCCCCCUCCGGCAUCCCAGGCAAAGAACCUCCAAUCACAGCACACCUGGAGCCUCCCUUCCUUUUUUCACCGUAAAGUUUUCCCACUCCCUGCCUGCUUUGAGUCCCUCCCUGCCAAACGCAAGUGAUGGUGGCUGACUCCCUUGCAAGCUCUGAAUGAACAGCCUCUGCUUGUUCUCAUUUGGAUGAUCUUGGUUUAUUUCCACAUCUCCAGCAGGAAGUCUGAAUACAAACUGAAAUACUCAUGAAACCAACACCCAAACCAGGAGGUAGAGCCACGCCCCAGAACACCCAUUCCUGGCUCUAUCCCUCCCAAAGUAACCAUGCUGACUCCCAACACCAUAGAUCAAUUUUGCUUAUUUCUCUAUUUUUCUACAAGUAGAACCAUCCAGCGAGCACUUUUGUGUGUACUGUCUUCUUUUGCUCAACAUCGUGCCUGUGAGAUUUAUCCAUUGUUACGUGUAGCAAUAUUUUCAUUCAUACUCAUUGCUGUAUACUAGUAUUCUACUGUGUGACUACACCACAACUUAUAUAUCCAUUCUACCGUGGAGAGACAUUUAGGUGGAUUCCAGUUUGGGGCAAGUAUGAAGAGCGCAGUGAGGAACAUUCUUGCACAUGUCUUGGUAGACAUAAGCUCUUGUUUCUGUUGUGUAUGUAUCCAGGGGUGGAACUGCUGGGUCUUAGGUUGGCAUGCGCUCAGCUUUAGUAGAUACCGCCAAUUUUACAACAGGGUUUUACCAACUUACAUUUCCCCCAGAGUUUGAGAGUUUCAGUUGCUUUAUAUUUUCGUCAACACUUGAUCUUGUCAGACACUUUCAUUUUAGCCUUUCUGGUGGGUAUCUUUGUAAAUUUAUACUUAAUAUUUUUCUUAUUCCCUAUAGGCUCUAAGUGUUACUGUUUUCUUGGAUUUGGUGGUUAUAAUUAUUAAUAGUAUGUAACUGAUCAAAACAGUUGUCCCUUCCGUCCACCCCCCCUCACGCUUCUGGAACACCUCUUUAGACCACUCACAAUUGUAUUGGAGACAAUGGAAGGGGGUUCUUGGGGUGGGGUCUUUGCUUUAUUAUUCUAUGUCUCCAAGACCUAUCCCAGUACUCUGCACAUAGUAGGUUCAAAAUAGAUAUUUGUUGUAUAAAUACAUGAAAGAAUGAUAUGAAAGUCUAUUUGUAUCCACCACACUUUGUGGGCCAUCCCCAGCCACCGGAGGGUAUGCAGCUGUCUUACUCAUUUUAGGCUUGGACUUGGCACGGGAGAAUCUUUUAAUAAACAAUGUCUGCCAAACCAAACCGGCCUCUGGAGGUCUGGCAUUUUAGGCUUGUGUCCCCUGCCCCACCUCACACGGCCUCAAACCAUUAAGCCUGGGCACACACAGGAUGAUUAUAGUCAUAUUGUUACAACAUCUCUGGGACUAUAUUAACUAUCUAUUGCACAGUAUCACACUAUGACAGCAGGUGGCAGAUCUUGGCACACUGGGCAGAGAUAUGCUGGUGUGAAAUCUCACUUUAAAUGGGGUCCCGGGUCCCAGACACCCAAUCAGCUGUGGGUCAUGGGCGUAGAGAGCAUCCAUCUCUGGGAGUCAGGGUCAGAGAUUUCCCUUGCAUUGUCACCUCUGGUCCUUCCUCCCUCCCAGUCCUGCAGACCAGUUGUUAAUUGGGUCAUAAUGGUACCCCUUUCGUAGGGUCGUUGUGAGG
This 4281-nucleotide long non-coding RNA is filed under the name Equus caballus (horse). Its description in RNAcentral is "lncRNA (ENSECAG00000057400.1)". The record is from RNAcentral. Lineage: Eukaryota; Metazoa; Chordata; Mammalia; Perissodactyla; Equidae.